Molecule: ribosomal RNA, 479 nt
Filed under: uncultured bacterium
Lineage: Bacteria
Description: partial 16S ribosomal RNA
Rfam family: Bacterial small subunit ribosomal RNA
Source: RNAcentral
GAUGAACGCUAGCGGGAGGCCUAACACAUGCAAGCCGAGCGGUAUUUGUUCUUCGGAACAGAGAGAGCGGCGCACGGGUGCGGAACACGUGUGCAACCUGCCUUUAUCUGGGGGAUAGCCUUUCGAAAGGAAGAUUAAUACCCCAUAAUAUAUUGAGUGGCAUCACUUGAUAUUGAAAACUCCGGUGGAUAGAGAUGGGCACGCGCAAGAUUAGAUAGUUGGUGAGGUAACGGCUCACCAAGUCAAUGAUCUUUAGGGGGCCUGAGAGGGUGAUCCCCCACACUGGUACUGAGACACGGACCAGACUCCUACGGGAGGCAGCAGUGAGGAAUAUUGGACAAUGGGUUAGCGCCUGAUCCAGCCAUCCCGCGUGAAGGACGACGGCCCUAGGGGUUGUAAACUUCUUGUGUAUAGGGAUAAACCUACUCUCGUGAGAGUAGCUGAAGGUACUAUACGAAUAAGCACCGGCUAACUCCGUG